UACAGAGGGGGCAAGCGUUGUUCGGAAUUACUGGGCGUAAAGGGCGCGUAGGCGGCCUGCUAAGUCGAACGUGAAAUCCCCGAGCUCAACUCGGGAACUGCGUCCGAUACUGGCAGGCUUGAAUCCGGGAGAGGGAUGCGGAAUUCCAGGUGUAGCGGUGAAAUGCGUAGAUAUCUGGAGGAACACCGGUGGCGAAGGCGGCAUCCUGGACCGGCAUUGACGCUGAGGAGCGAAAGCAUGGGGAGCGAACAGG
RNAcentral lists this ribosomal RNA (253 nucleotides) under uncultured bacterium. Its description in RNAcentral is "partial 16S ribosomal RNA". It matches the Rfam family "Bacterial small subunit ribosomal RNA", at positions 524 to 776 of the family's 1533-position model. The record is from RNAcentral.